Molecule: non-coding RNA, 827 nt
Filed under: Pan troglodytes (chimpanzee)
Lineage: Eukaryota; Metazoa; Chordata; Mammalia; Primates; Hominidae
Source: RNAcentral
GCUGACGGGCUGUGUAUUCCUUACCAGUAAAAGAUUGUUCUCUGACUGGUCCAAGGAGCCUUGAGCAUUUGAGAUGGAGUGAGGCCAUGUGGAAGGGGCUGUGGAAGGUUCCAUCUAACAACUUGCUAGGCAGGUUGGGGCAGGAGGAAGUGCUCUGUGAGGGGGGCCUGGGAGAGAAUCAGGAGAACAGGGUACAACAGCUGGUGAGAGUUUUGCUUCUGAUAUAGACAAUGCCUGCAGAGCAAACCAUUACAGCUAAGAGAGAUCUUUAAGUGAAAGAAAAGGAGAAGGCUCCAUCUCAGCUUAUUAGAAGACUUGAAUUUGUCUAAUGUCUUGGCUGGGAAAAGCAGCUCAGUUCUCUCUGAAAAGGAAAACCCAAGACAGAAAGCAUGGAUGUGGAAGAAGGCUGGAGUGCAGUGGCGCGAUCUCGGCUCACUGCAAGCUCUGCCUCCCGGGUUCACGCCAUUCUCCUGCCUCAGCCUCCCGAGUAGCUGGGACUAGAGGCGCCCACCACCACAUCCGGCUAAUUGCUUUUAGCACUUUUUUGGGAGAGGAACAGAUGACAAUGCAUUGCCAGGCCUUCAAUACAAAAGGGGUGUGGCAACAGUAAAGCUUUCUACAUGUUAAACAGAAUGAACAAAACCAACGCAGAGCAGUGACUUUCUGUCAGAGAGAGCAGAAGGAGACCCUUAUAGAACAGCUGUUCCACUGCUCCAAAGGCCUCGUGUGGUUCUAUCCCUUGGACUGCCUUUCUUCAACAGCCCAGACACCUGCUCUGUCAGAUUUAUAAGCCACACCCCCUAGAACCAUGCCAAUCAAAGCAUGGC